GGGCCGAUAGCUCAGCUGGGAGAGCGCUGCGUUCGCAAUGCAGAGGUCGGGAGUUCGAUCCUCCUUCGGUCCAC
RNAcentral lists this transfer RNA (74 nucleotides) under Betaproteobacteria bacterium ADurb.Bin341. Its description in RNAcentral is "tRNA-Ala". It matches the Rfam family "tRNA". Rfam says of the family: Transfer RNA (tRNA) molecules are approximately 80 nucleotides in length. Their secondary structure includes four short double-helical elements and three loops (D, anti-codon, and T loops). Lineage: Bacteria; Pseudomonadati; Pseudomonadota; Betaproteobacteria. The record is from RNAcentral.